RNAcentral lists this ribosomal RNA (183 nucleotides) under Triticum aestivum (bread wheat). RNAcentral's name for it is "partial small subunit ribosomal RNA". Lineage: Eukaryota; Viridiplantae; Streptophyta; Magnoliopsida; Poales; Poaceae. The record is from RNAcentral.
AUGCGCAAGGGCCUUGCCUCCCUUAUGCCGCUCACUGCCUAGUCCAUCUGGCGGCAUCGGAAUGCAUGUAUCUUUGACAACGCCCGACCCUCCACCACGCAAUUGCUUCAAGUUAUCAAGGACGAUGCAAACUCCUGGGCCAUGGCCAGAGUAAAGGACAUUGCUAGUUUCAUCCCGUGGUGA